RNAcentral lists this small RNA (131 nucleotides) under Lelliottia amnigena. RNAcentral's name for it is "RtT sRNA". It matches the Rfam family "RtT RNA". Rfam says of the family: This family represents a bacterial cis-regulatory element known as RtT RNA. The record is from RNAcentral. Lineage: Bacteria; Pseudomonadati; Pseudomonadota; Gammaproteobacteria; Enterobacterales; Enterobacteriaceae.
UAUCCUGCCCAUGCGGGAAGGAUGAGAAGCUUCGACCAAGGUUCGAUUCGAGCGUAGCGAGAAAGCGUUGCCGCAGGCAACGACCCGAAGGGCGAAGCGUAUCGCGCUGAGUCAUCCUUCCCCCACCACCU